RNAcentral lists this transfer RNA (72 nucleotides) under Bos indicus (zebu cattle). It matches the Rfam family "tRNA". Rfam says of the family: Transfer RNA (tRNA) molecules are approximately 80 nucleotides in length. RNAcentral also lists the same sequence under 3 other names. Lineage: Eukaryota; Metazoa; Chordata; Mammalia; Artiodactyla; Bovidae. The record is from Rfam by way of RNAcentral.
UCCCUGGUGGCUCAGACAGUAAAGCAUCUGCCUGCAAUGCGGGAGACUCGGGUUCGAUCCCUGGGUUGGGAA